RNAcentral lists this small RNA (84 nucleotides) under Marmota monax (woodchuck). The record is from RNAcentral. Lineage: Eukaryota; Metazoa; Chordata; Mammalia; Rodentia; Sciuridae.
GCCAGGUGCGGUGGUGCAUGCCUGUAAUCCCAGUGACUCAGGAGGCUGAGGCAGGAGGUAGCUUCAGACCAAAGCCAGCCUCAG